Molecule: long non-coding RNA, 1003 nt
Organism: Chenopodium quinoa (quinoa)
Lineage: Eukaryota; Viridiplantae; Streptophyta; Magnoliopsida; Caryophyllales; Amaranthaceae
Exons: 2
Source: RefSeq, a predicted model, not a curated record
UUAUUUUAUUUUAUUUUUGUAUUGUUUGUAUAGGUGUGAAUUUGGCAUUUUGUUUCCAUUUGAGGUCGUGUUCGAGGCACAAAACAGAACCAUCCUUAGCACCUACCCACCCGGUCACCCCUCCUCAUUUUCCUUACAUGCUCAUUAUAGGACAUCACAACUUGAAAAAAGUUGAGUUAUCGUUCUCUCUAGGAAAGGUUCUGUUCUUAUCUUUCCCACCGCUUCACAGACGCAUUUCUCACCGCUUCCCCUGCUCGCCGGCGAUCGGCGUUUUCUCCUUUGCCGUUGUCAGCGAGUCCUCUUCUAAAUUAAUUCCUUUAAUUUUAUGUGUUUCCUUUUUUUUUUUUUUUUUUUGUUGCACAAUAAAGAAGACUAGGAAGAUUGAAGUACUGAAUUUCCUUUAAUACCAAUCGGAGGUUGGUUAAGGUGUUGGUGAGGUUCUAAUUAUCCAAUGAAACAAGAAGCCAAGGCUACUCUUAAUGCCACCGUCGAAAGGAAAUUCGCUAAUCGUGUUCCUGGUGGUAAAUGUGAAGUUAAGGCUAAGGUUUUCUCCCUUAAUCCAAGGUUUGGGUUUCAGUGAGGGGUCUUCUUGCGUUGGUCUUUGAAGGCUUUUGUUGGGGUUAGGUUUCGAUUCCGUCGGUGAGGUAGUUCUUUAUGUUCUCCUCAUUGCGUUCAAGCUACAAUCUCUAUUCAUCUCGAGUUAUUUGGUUAGUUUGGCAAUGCUCGGUCCACAUCACAGAUCCAGUAAAUUGUUGUUGGUUUUCUCGGCUCCGAAGUCAAUGGUGUUAUAUAAAUGGCGGUCAUCACAGGUGGUUAUGAUAUGGUGGUCAUCAUUGGUGUUAUGCUAUGGUUCAUAAGGAUUCCCAUUCCUGUUAGCGUGUUUGGUUUGAUAUGUUGGGUUGUAAUUUUCUUAGUUUCUUUACUCUUCUUAGAUUGUAAUCAUGUUUGUCGUUAAUAGAAUCUUUUGUCAAAAAAAAUAAUUUAAAAAUUGCCUAUGCUGCCA